Molecule: long non-coding RNA, 1820 nt
Organism: Oncorhynchus tshawytscha (Chinook salmon)
Lineage: Eukaryota; Metazoa; Chordata; Actinopteri; Salmoniformes; Salmonidae
Source: Ensembl
CUCAGAUUGAUUCAGUUUCUCUCUGUCUGAAGGUAUAUUCUCUUGCUCGCAUUGAUUAAUUUUCUCGCUGUCUGAGGGUAUAUUUUCUCGCGCAUAUAGAUUCAGUUUCUCUCCGCCAGAAGUUAUAUUCUCUUGCUCAGAUUGAUUCAUGUUCUCUUUGCCUUGGGGUAUAUACUCUGGAACGGAUUGAUUAAUUUUCUCUCCGCCUGAAGUUAUAUACUCUGGCUCGGAUUGAUUUAGUUUCUCUCCGCCUAAAGGUAUAUUAUCUUGCUCAGUGAGAUUCAGUUUCUCUCUGUCUGAGGGUAUAUGUUCUUGCGCAUACAGAUUCGGUUUCUCUCUGCCUGAAGUUAUGUACUCUGGCUCGGAUUGAUUCAUUUUCUCUCCAUCUGAGGGUAAAUACUCUUGUUCAGAUUCAUUCAGUUUCUCUCCGCUUAAAGGAAUAUUCUCUUGCUCGGAUUGAUUCAGUUUCUCUUCGUCUGAGGGUAUAUAGUCUUGCUCGGAUUGAUACAUUUUCUCUUCUCCUGAAGUCAUAUGCUCUUGCUCAGAUUGAUUCAGUUUCUCGCCGCCUGAGGUCGUAUGCUCUUGCUCAGAUUGAUUCAGUUUCUCGCCGCCUGAGGUCAUAUGGUCUUGCUCAGAUUGAUUCAGUUCCUCGCCGCCUGAGGUCGUGUGCUCUUGUUCAGAUUGAUUCAGUUUCUCUCCGCCUGUGGUCGUAUGCUCUUGUUCAGAUUGAUUCAGUCUUACUGAGUGUAUCUGCUCUACCUCCUCACUGUAUAAUAUGUCUUGUGUCUGGGAAAGUUCCGUGUGAGACACAAUUUGAAGACUCAGUACUGACUCGCUCUCAAUCAUCUGCCCAUUAAAGUGUUCACUGUAACUGGAUAUAGAUAAAUUCUCUAACUCUUGCUCCACCAAUCUAUCAAUUCUUUCUUCAUUAUUGUCCUCAUCAGAGCACAUCAUGGAGUACUCUCCAGGUUCUGUAAGUUCCUCAUAGGAUUGUUCCUCUUCUGCCUCCUGAAUCAACUGAUCUACUGCAUUCUCCUCAUCGUUCUCCUGUGUAGCAUGCUCCUUUGUUUGGCUAGCAUCCACGUCGUCUUGGUGAGUGGAGCCCAUGUUACGUUCCUGAUCUAUGACAUCCCCUUCUGACUCUUCAUACAGAUCCUCCAUGGUGUCAAACUGUUUGGACUUGCCUUCGCCCCAGGUGCCUGAUCCUGUCUGGCAAACCUCCCUGUCCUGUUCACCAUCACUGGAGUCACUUUCUCCCAUGUGUGAAGCCUGAGUGUUGGCAUCCGUCUCGUCACUCUUGUAACGGAUCAGGGGGUGUGUGUCGGCCAGUGUGUUGUCCUGAGCGUAGCUGUCACCUUCUAGCUCAGCCCUCCAUGAAACAGAAGUAUUUUGACAGUAGUUUGCCUCAUCAUGAUCCUCUUUGUCAUUGUCGGAUAGAUUCCGUUUCUCUCUGCCUAAAGGUAUAUGCUCUUGCUCAAAUUGAUUCAGUUUCUCUACAUUUGAAGGUAUAUGUUCUUGAUCAGACUGAUUUGGUUGGGUUUCUCUGUUAUUCCACAUCUCUUCCUCUUUCAUAUGAUCCUUUCCUUCUUGAUCCUUUCCUUCAUCCAUUCUUUCUCUAAUUCCAUUCUCUUCAGUGUAUCCUCCCACUCUAUCCCAUUCAUCAUUUACAUCCCCAUUGGGGUGCAAUGCAUAUUGCAUCUCACGUUUAUUAUACAUAUCAUUUUCAUCAUCCCCUUUUGUGAAAUUUAUAUCACCUUCCUCCAGUCUUUCAACAUGAUGAAAUACCUCUUCUGACCAGUGAGAAGCUUGAGCAGAUUCAU